UACGUAGGGGGCAAGCGUUAUCCGGAUUUACUGGGUGUAAAGGGGGCGCAGACGGCGAUGCAAGCCAGGAGUGAAAGCCCGGGGCCCAACCCCGGGACUGCUCUUGGAACUGCGUGGCUGGAGUGCAGGAGGGGCAGGCGGAAUUCCUGGUGUAGCGGUGAGAUGCGUAGAUAUUAGGAGGAACACCAGUGGCGAAGGCGGCCUACUGGACGGUGACUGACGCUGAGGCUCGAAAGCGUGGGGAGCAAACAGG
RNAcentral lists this ribosomal RNA (253 nucleotides) under uncultured bacterium. Its description in RNAcentral is "partial 16S ribosomal RNA". It matches the Rfam family "Bacterial small subunit ribosomal RNA", at positions 524 to 776 of the family's 1533-position model. The record is from RNAcentral.